GAUGAAGAACGCAGCAAAAUGCGAUAAGUAAUGUGAAUUGCAGAAUUCAGUGAAUCAUCGAAUCUUUGAACGCACAUUGCGCCCGCUGGUAUUCCGGCGGGCAUGCCUGUUCGAGCGUCAUUUCAACCCUCAAGCCCCCGGGUUUGGUGUUGGGGAUCGGCUCUGCCCUUCUGGGCGGUGCCGCCCCCGAAAUACAUUGGCGGUCUCGCUGCAGCCUCCAUUGCGUAGUAGCUAACACCUCGCAACUGGAGAGCGGCGCGGCCAUGCCGUAAAACACCCAACUUCUGAAUGUUGACCUCGAAUCAGGUAGGAAUACCCGCUGAACUUAAGCAUAUCAAUAAGCGGAGGA
This 349-nucleotide unclassified non-coding RNA is filed under the name soil metagenome. Its description in RNAcentral is "partial contains 5.8S ribosomal RNA, internal transcribed spacer 2, and large subunit ribosomal RNA". The stretch from base 1 to 120 matches the Rfam family "5.8S ribosomal RNA", at positions 35 to 154 of the family's 154-position model. The record is from RNAcentral.